CAGUAGCCACGGGAAUACGAAGGGUGCAAGCGUUAAUCGGAAUUACUGGGCGUAAAGCGUGCGUAGGCGGUUUGUUAAGUCUGUUGUGAAAUCCCCGGGCUCAACCUGGGAAUGGCAAUGGAUACUGGCAAGCUAGAGUGUGUCAGAGGAUGGUGGAAUUCCCGGUGUAGCGGUGAAAUGCGUAAAGAUCGGGAGGAACAUCAGUGGCGAAGGCGGCCAUCUGGGACAACACUGACGCUGAGGCACGAAAGCGUGGGGAGCAAACAGGAUUAGAUACCCAGUAGUCCCUGUCUCUUAUACA
This 301-nucleotide ribosomal RNA is filed under the name uncultured bacterium. RNAcentral describes it as "partial 16S ribosomal RNA". It matches the Rfam family "Bacterial small subunit ribosomal RNA", at positions 509 to 808 of the family's 1533-position model. The record is from RNAcentral.